Molecule: non-coding RNA, 2559 nt
Organism: Prunus avium (sweet cherry)
Lineage: Eukaryota; Viridiplantae; Streptophyta; Magnoliopsida; Rosales; Rosaceae
Source: RefSeq, a predicted model, not a curated record
AAUGUAUUUCAGCAGUCCACGCUUCCUUACCAUGGACCUGCACGCUGUGCCAUCACACAGUCCACAAAGUAAACCUAACUAAAACCCCCCAAAACCCCACAGAGCUUUCGCUCAGAUCCACAAUGCUAAAACUCCUCGCUUUCUCUCUUAUAAAUCUUCCUUUGCUCAAUCAGCUAUUAUCCAACCCUUCAUUCGCAGUCUCCACCAAUCUAAGAACAUACUUGUAUGCCUGUAUUUCUUCUGUUAAUUUAAUUUGAUUGUAGUUUACGUUUCUGGGUCUUUGUUUUGGCACAUGGGCAUUGAAGCUUCUCUCAGGUUGGUGCCUAAAUCUUGAUUUUAGCUAAUUGGCGUGUUCUAGUUUGAGAAAAUUUGAAGAACAUCGUCUCUGGUUUUAGUCAUUGGGUUUUCUAAUUUCUGGGUUUUGUUCAACUUGUGAAGUGGGCAGUGGAUAUAUAUAUUCAUAAUGGUUUGUGUAGAAUCUUGAUAUUGAUGGAUGGGUAUGUAUCAAUCUGAGGAAGCUCCUAAAACAUGCUCUCUCUGCGAACCAGUCGCAGAUUUUGUCAUGCCGCCAUUGCCAUAACUUCAAAUGGUUGUCCUGCAGCUGUGUCAAAUCACGUUUUUGAUACAAAACCUUUGGAAGAACCUGCCCUCGUUAAGCUUAAAGCCGAGAGAGACCCCGAAAAGCUAUUCCACCUGUUUAAGGCCAACGCUCAUAAUACGCUUGUCAUUGAGAACCGAUUUGCAUUUGAAGACACGGUGUCUAGGCUAGCUGGAGCUCGAAGGUUUGAUUACAUUGAACAUUUGCUUGAGCAUCAGAAGACUCUUCCUCAAGGUCGGCGAGAAGGGUUCAUUAUGAGGAUUAUAACAUUGUAUGGUAAGGCUGGGAUGACUAAGCAUGCUAUUGAUACUUUUUGUGAUAUGCAUUUAUAUGGUUGUUGUAGGACUGUUAAAUCCUUCAACGCUGCACUCAAAGUUUUGACUCAAACCCGUGAUUUAGGAGCCAUAGAGGCAUUUCUGAACGAGGUUCCACGGAAGUUUGACAUUGAAGUGGACGUAUUUUCGGUUAAUAUUCUUAUCAAGGCUUUUUGUGAAAUGGGAAUUUUGGUUAAAGCAUAUCGGAUCAUGGUACAGAUGGAAAAGUUGGGAAUAAGACCAGAUGUCAUUACAUAUACCACACUGAUGUCGGCAUUUUAUAAGGAAAACUGGUGCGAGAUUGGUAAUGGUUUAUGGAAUCUUAUGGUGCUGAAGAGGUGUUUGCCUAAUCUUGCAACUUUCAAUGUUAGAAUCCAGUAUUUGGUUAACAGAAGACGAGCAUGGGAAGCUAACAAAUUGAUAGGUUUGAUGCAGAAUGUUGGGAUAACACCUGAUGAGGUCACAUAUAAUUUGGUGAUCAAAGGGUUUUUCCAGGCCGGGUAUCUUGAAAUGGCUAAAAGGGUGUAUUCUGCUCUACAUGGAAAGGGAUACAAGCCAAAUAUCAAAAUUUAUCAGACCAUGAUUCAUUAUCUUUGUAAAGGAAGGGAUUUUGAUUUGGCAUAUACUAUGUGUAAAGACUGCAUGCAAAAGAAUUGGUAUCCGAAUGUGGAUACCAUUCAUGCAUUGCUUGAAGGCCUAAAGAGGGGCAAGCAGCUUGGUAAGGCUAAGGCAGUCAUGAUGUUGGUUCGGAAAAGGGUGCCUCCAUUUUCUUCAAAACAAUUGGGGGAUUUACAAACCAUACUGAGCAAGAGUUGAAUUAAGAUGAGGGACUGGAAAACUGAGAAGUGGUAGAUUAUGUAACUGGACAGCUCAACAAGAGCUAGUAUUCUUUUUCCCCCACUCAUUUGUAAAUUUGCAGAACAAUUGACAUGAAUUUUUUUAAUCAUACGAAAGGGACAUCCUCAUUUCUUCAAUAAUUUGUAGUACCACCUCAAUUUAAAUGGAGCACUGAAUGGACAGCUAUCACCCAAAUUUGUUCUUUGGUGGUGCAGAACAGAAGGGUCAGGGAAUAAUGGCAAAGUCCUACCCAUUAGAUAUUAAUAUUAUUAAAUGCUUAUUUCGGUAAUUUCAAAUUAUUUGAAUGAUGAUGAAACAAGUGUUUAUUUAUUUAUUUAUUAGUAUUACAUCCAUCUAAAUCAAAUUCCUUUUAUUAUAAUUAAAGACCUUACAAGUACGAAACUUGUUAUUUAAAAGUAACACAUAAGGAUAUAAGAUGGCCGAUGGUCAGAGUGAUGGUUAGUUUAUAGACAUUGGAUUCUUAACAAUUAGUUGGUCAUAAUUAGUAGCUGUGGUGGUUUUAAACGACUAACUCUGCAAAAUUGGGAAUGGUGUUCUUAUGUCCCAAACUUGCCAGACCUUCUUGACCAUUUUACCCAAUUUCUUUAAUGGACCGGAAGUAAGGUGAGUAACAUAUGGGGAUUAUUCUUUUACAGAAUGUAUGUACAAAACCUUUUGAUGAUUAACAAAGUACAUGCUGAAUGGAUGAUAGGUAAUAUUUAGGCAUACAUGAGCAAAAUGAUAAGUUAUCUGAUGUGACUGGGGGGUUGCUGCAGCAUACUCUAAACGAGGAAGAUAGAGAAUAGGAUA